UCCCUGGUGAUCCAGUGGUUAGGAUUUUUACUUCCAAUGCAGGGGGCCCGGGUUCAGUCCCUGGUCAGGGAA
RNAcentral lists this transfer RNA (72 nucleotides) under Bos taurus (domestic cattle). It matches the Rfam family "tRNA". From Rfam's summary of the family: Transfer RNA (tRNA) molecules are approximately 80 nucleotides in length. Their secondary structure includes four short double-helical elements and three loops (D, anti-codon, and T loops). Further hydrogen bonds mediate the characteristic L-shaped molecular structure. tRNAs have two regions of fundamental functional importance: the anti-codon, which is responsible for specific mRNA codon recognition, and the 3' end, to which the tRNAs corresponding amino acid is attached (by aminoacyl-tRNA synthetases). tRNAs cope with the degeneracy of the genetic code in two manners: having more than one tRNA (with a specific anti-codon) for a particular amino acid; and 'wobble' base-pairing, i.e. permitting non-standard base-pairing at the 3rd anti-codon position. RNAcentral also lists the same sequence under 2 other names. The record is from Rfam by way of RNAcentral. Lineage: Eukaryota; Metazoa; Chordata; Mammalia; Artiodactyla; Bovidae.